RNAcentral lists this long non-coding RNA (388 nucleotides) under Vigna radiata. RNAcentral describes it as "long non-coding RNA (VRAD_LNC010187)". Lineage: Eukaryota; Viridiplantae; Streptophyta; Magnoliopsida; Fabales; Fabaceae. The record is from RNAcentral.
UUGGUUUUCGCUCGAAGAGGAGAACCAGAUCUAGUGUUCGCCAGACGAAAAUGUGAUGGUGGCCAGGGAACAACGUCGGAAUGGUAGGGAACAGAGGUUAAUGGUGACAAAAUUCAGUGGACAACUUCUCACAGUGACAAAACAAUUUUAGAUGAUGGUGGGCAAUGGCAAACAACAUCAAACAACGACAAACAAUGUCGAACAAUUACGAACAACAACUGGGGUUUAGAGACUAGACAAAAACCAGUGUGGGAUCGACCCUUGAGAUUGAAACUCUAAAAUAAUUCUCGAGGCUUGAACGAUCCCUCUCACUCUCACUCUAUAUAUAAGAAAGUUUUGAUACAAAUUACAUGAUAUAUAGAGUAACCCUAGACACAAUAUAAUGAUU